RNAcentral lists this ribosomal RNA (110 nucleotides) under marine eukaryotic metagenome. The record is from RNAcentral.
UGACGACCAUAGCAAGAGUGAACCACCUGAUCCCUUCUCGAACUCAGAAGUGAAACCUCUUAGCGCCGAUGGUAGUGUGGGAGAUCCCAUGUGAGAGUAGGUCAUCGUCA